Molecule: non-coding RNA, 64 nt
Organism: Myotis lucifugus (little brown bat)
Lineage: Eukaryota; Metazoa; Chordata; Mammalia; Chiroptera; Vespertilionidae
Source: Rfam
GGCCUCCCUCUUUGGGGUGAUCAAUUGCAGGGCUCCGCAAUUGAUAGCCCCACAGAGGGAGGCC